GUAGGUGGCAAGCGUUGUCGGGAGUUAUUGGGCGUAAAGCGCGCGCAGGCGGUUCUUUAAGUCUGAUGUGAAAGCCCACGGGCUCAACCGUGGAGGGUCAUUGGAAACUGGAGAACUUGAGUACAGAAGAGGAAAGCGGAAUUCCACGUGUAGCGGUGAAAUGCGUAGAGAUGUGGAGGAACACCAGUGGCGAAGGCGGCUUUCUGGUCUGUAACUGACGCUGAGGCGCGAAAGCGUGGGGAGCAAACAGGAUUAGAUACCCUGGUAGUCCACGCCGUAAACGAUGAGUGCUAAGUGUUAGGGGGUUUCCGCCCCUUAGUGCUGCAGCUAACGCAUUAAGCACUCCGCCUGGGGAGUACGACCGCAAAGGUUG
Molecule: ribosomal RNA, 373 nt
Filed under: uncultured organism
Description: partial 16S ribosomal RNA
Rfam family: Bacterial small subunit ribosomal RNA
Source: RNAcentral